AGCGAACGUUAGCGGCGGGCCUAACACAUGCAAGUCGAGCGAGAAAGUGGCUUCGGCCAUCAGUAAAGCGGCGGACGGGUGAGUAACACGUAGGUAAUCUUCCCUUGAGCGGGGGACAACGUUUCGAAAGGAACGCUAAUACCGCAUACGUUUCUGGGGACUCCGGUCCCUGGAAGGAAAGCUAGGUCGGGCAUUAAACCCCGGUCCAGCACUCGAGGAGGAGCCUGCGUCGCAUCAGCUAGUUGGGGGGUAACGGCCUACCAAGGCGAAGACGCGUAGCUGGUCUGAGAGGAUGAUCAGCCACACUGGGACUGAGACACGGCCCAGACUCCUACGGGAGGCAGCAGUGGGGAAUAUUGGACAAUGGGCGCAAGCCUGAUCCAGCCACGCCGCGUGAGUGAU
Molecule: ribosomal RNA, 402 nt
Filed under: uncultured bacterium
Lineage: Bacteria
Description: bacterial SSU rRNA
Rfam family: Bacterial small subunit ribosomal RNA
Source: RNAcentral